UACAGAGGUCUCAAGCGUUGCUCGGAUUCAUUGGGCGUAAAGGGUGCGUAGGCGGCGCGGUAAGUCGGGUGUGAAAUCUCGGAGCUUAACUCCGAAACUGCAUUCGAUACUGCCGUGCUUGAGGACUGGAGAGGAGACUGGAAUUUACGGUGUAGCGGUGAAAUGCGUAGAUAUCGUAAGGAAGACUAGUGGCGAAGGCGGGUCUCUGGACAGUUCCUGAUGCUGAGGCACGAAGGUCAGGGGAGCAAACGGG
RNAcentral lists this ribosomal RNA (253 nucleotides) under uncultured bacterium. RNAcentral's name for it is "partial 16S ribosomal RNA". It matches the Rfam family "Bacterial small subunit ribosomal RNA", at positions 524 to 776 of the family's 1533-position model. The record is from RNAcentral.